AAAAAGGGAUUCUCUCGUGAGUGGCACAUGCUGGGCAACUCGAUUGUUCUGUAUGCGGAAUCAACAUCAAGAGAUUUCAGAAGCAUAAUUUUUUGGUAUCUGGGCAGCUAGUGAUCUUUGGUCCUGGUGCCUGU
Mastomys coucha (southern multimammate mouse) is the source of this 134-nucleotide small nuclear RNA. RefSeq annotates it as U11 spliceosomal RNA. The transcript has a single exon. NCBI's taxonomy places the organism in Eukaryota, Metazoa, Chordata, Mammalia, Rodentia, Muridae. The record is from RefSeq and is a predicted model, not a curated record.